RNAcentral lists this ribosomal RNA (754 nucleotides) under uncultured bacterium. Its description in RNAcentral is "bacterial SSU rRNA". It matches the Rfam family "Bacterial small subunit ribosomal RNA", at positions 89 to 863 of the family's 1533-position model. The record is from RNAcentral.
AUCUUAGCGGCGGACGGGUGAGUAACGCGUGAGAAACCUGCCUUUCACAAAGGGAUAGCCUCGGGAAACUGGGAUUAAUACCUUAUGAAACUUAUCCCUCGCAUGAGAGAUAAGUCAAAGCGAAUAAGCGGUGAAAGAUGGUCUCGCGUCCUAUUAGCUAGUUGGUGAGGUAACGGCUCACCAAGGCUUCGAUAGGUAGCCGGCCUGAGAGGGUGAACGGCCACACUGGAACUGAGACACGGUCCAGACUCCUACGGGAGGCAGCAGUGGGGAAUAUUGCACAAUGGAGGAAACUCUGAUGCAGCGACGCCGCGUGAAUGAUGAAGGCCUUCGGGUUGUAAAGUUCUGUCCUUGGGGAAGAUAAUGACGGUACCCAAGGAGGAAGCCCCGGCUAACUACGUGCCAGCAGCCGCGGUAAUACGUAGGGGGCGAGCGUUGUCCGGAAUUAUUGGGCGUAAAGGGUUCGCAGGCGGUCUGAUAAGUCAGAUGUGAAAGGCGUAGGCUCAACCUACGUAAGCAUUUGAAACUGUCAGACUUGAGUUAAGGAGAGGAAAGUGGAAUUCCUAGUGUAGCGGUGAAAUGCGUAGAUAUUAGGAGGAAUACCAGUGGCGAAGGCGACUUUCUGGACUUAUACUGACGCUGAGGAACGAAAGCGUGGGGAGCAAACAGGAUUAGAUACCCUGGUAGUCCACGCCGUAAACGAUGAGUGCUAGGUGUUGGGGGUCAAACCUCGGUGCCGCAGCUAACGCAUUAA